RNAcentral lists this long non-coding RNA (1798 nucleotides) under Malus domestica (apple). RNAcentral describes it as "long non-coding RNA (MDOM_LNC012757)". The record is from RNAcentral. Lineage: Eukaryota; Viridiplantae; Streptophyta; Magnoliopsida; Rosales; Rosaceae.
UAUAUUUUAGCAUCAAAUUCAUGCAUGAAAAUUAAGCGUGCACUCUCAACCAACAUACACAAAUCAGUUUUUAUACGAACGGAUAAGUAAAUUGAAUUCACAACUUAUGAAACGCAAUUAGAAGUAAUCAAAUCAUAUUGCAAGCAUAAACAUGGUUUCGAAUUCCCCCUUAGCUAAAGGGGGGUUUAGUUCCUCAUACUUACAAAACAAAGAGUAUUGAAUUUAAACAUUGAAAACAAAGGAAAGAAAACACCUAAAACGUUCCAGCAAUCCUAACUUGAAUGGCAUGCACAUCCAAGGCUUAUCCUCCUUCCUCUUUGCUGCGGCACAAGGUUUUGGGGACAGGUUUGGAUGGUAUUUGUAUGGAGGAAUGGAUGGGAGAUGGUAUGGUGGUGUUGAGGAUGGAUGGGGGGUGUGGUAAAAGAGAGAAAGAUGGCUGAAAAUGUGUUUGUGAUGUAGUGUAUGAAUGUGUAGAUGGGUUUGGCUAAAAGAAUGGAUGGAUAAUGGGUGGUAUGGCUGAUUGUGUUUUUGAUGUAGUGUAGUGUGUAGUGUUCUUCCCUUCACUCCCUAUUUAUAGAAGCUCCAAACCAAAGAAUCACUCAAGUGGCUUCAAUAAACAAUACAAACAAAGACCAAAAUGAUGCAAAAACAGCUAGUUUACAUGUUCUUUUAUCAUUGUGUCUUGCCUUUAACAAAAGGCAAUCAUUCAUCUCUUGCUAAUUUAACUCCUUUGUAGCUGUCCAUGUGCCUUCAUUCUUAAAUUUCUGAUGCAAUUGCCUUGUAUUCCAUCCCUUUUCCACAUGUACUAGCUGUUAAACAACUUUCACACACAUGUUUUGCAUCAUUUCAUCUUGCAAACAUCAACUUUCGGCCACUUUACACCUCUACACACAUGCUAUGCAUCAUUUCAGCUUGCAAUUAUGUUUGUAGUUGCUGAAAAUGUGAAUACAACUUGUAAAGCAAUCCAACAAAUGACAUCUUUCACUUCUUUUCCUUUCAAAUUGUUCCUUAAGUGUAUGUAUGUGCACACUUCCACACUUCAACUUCAUUAUUCAGAUUUUUGCAUGUGUUGAAACCCUUUUUAAAACACCAAAAACGUCCAUCCCACUUGCUCCAUAUGCAUGCAAUCCAUUUUGGCCCAAAAUUGCUCCAAAUUGCACCAAAAUGCACUUUCUUUCCAACUUUGUUAUUAGGACCUACAAACACACGAAAAUCACUUAAAACACUCUUAUAAGCAAUAACUAACUAAGUAAAUGCAAGAAAACAUGUUAACUAGGUCGUAUAAAUAUGCUCUUAUCAAAGAUUGAUGUAAACACGAAAGAUUAGGACUCACAUAUGUUAUAACAAAGAAAGCAAUUUUCUGGAGUUAUUAAGCAUGUUUAGAUAUGAUCUCAUGAAUGGAAUGCUAUUACUUAGAUGCGAGAACCAGUGACACCAUAUGCUCAUACCAAUUUCGAGAACCAAUGGAAUGCUUUUCUCUACCCGUGCCUUAUUAAGGACUCUGGUACACACACACACACACAAGAAUCACUUCCCCCACACUUGCUUUCUGCAAUACAUUGAUCAAAAAGGAGUUCAUUUUAAGUCAUGCUUUACUAUGCUUCAAGAACAAGGGUAUGGAUGGUCCUAACACUAGGCUAGGUAAGGAUAGUGUGGGUUAACAAAGAACAUAGGCGUAACAAGGCUCAACAGGGUUAAACUUAAACACAUAAUGAAAUAGGGGCAUGGCAAUUUGGCUUUGGUGGUCACUACACAACUUCAUCUUGAAUAUGUGUUAUGCAAAUCAAUAGCAUGCUUU